GGCGAACGCUGGCGGCGUGCCUAAUACAUGCAAGUAGAACGCACAGUUUAUACCGUAGCUUGCUACACCAUAGACUGUGAGUUGCGAACGGGUGAGUAACGCGUAGGUAACCUGCCUGGUAGCGGGGGAUAACUAUUGGAAACGAUAGCUAAUACCGCAUAAUAUUAAUUAUUGCAUGAUAAUUAAUUGAAAGGUGCAAUUGCACCACUACCAGAUGGACCUUCGUUGUAUUAGCUAGUAGGUGAGGUAACGGCUCACCUAGGCGACGAGACAUAGCCGACCUGGGAGGGUGAUCGGCCACACUGGGACUGAGACACGGCCCAGACUCCUACGGGAGGCAGCAGUAGGGAAUCUUCGGCAAUGGACGAAAGUCUGACCGAGCAACGCCGCGUGAGUGAAGAAGGUUGUCGGAUCGUAAAGCUCUGUUGUAAGAGAAGAACGGGUGUGAGAGUGGAAAGUUCACACUGUGACGGUAUCUUACCAGAAAGGGACGGCUAACUACGUG
RNAcentral lists this ribosomal RNA (505 nucleotides) under uncultured bacterium. RNAcentral describes it as "partial 16S ribosomal RNA". It matches the Rfam family "Bacterial small subunit ribosomal RNA", at positions 28 to 507 of the family's 1533-position model. The record is from RNAcentral.